RNAcentral lists this ribosomal RNA (472 nucleotides) under uncultured bacterium. RNAcentral describes it as "bacterial SSU rRNA". It matches the Rfam family "Bacterial small subunit ribosomal RNA", at positions 33 to 507 of the family's 1533-position model. The record is from RNAcentral.
GACGACGCUGGCGGGCGUGCCUAACACAUGCAAGUCGAGCGGAGAUAGACUGAUGGUAACUGAAGUUUGUCUUAGCGGCGGACGGGUGAGUAACACGUGGGCAACCUGCCUUGGGAGUGGGGGAUAACACCGGGAAAUCGGUGCUAAUACCGCAUAACAUACACAAACUGCAUGGUAAGUGCAUCAAAGGAGUAAUCCGCUUUAAGAUGGGCCCGCGGCUGAUUAGCUAGUUGGUAAGGUAACGGCUUACCAAGGCGACGAUCAGUAGCCGACCUGAGAGGGUGACCGGCCACACUGGAACUGAGACACGGUCCAGACUCCUACGGGAGGCAGCAGUGGGGAAUAUUGCGCAAUGGGGGGAACCCUGACGCAGCAACGCCGCGUGGAGGAAGAAGGUCUUCGGAUUGUAAACUCCUGUCUUCUGGGACGAAGUAUGACGGUACCAGAGGAGGAAGCCACGGCUAACUACGUG